ACGGAAGGCAGCAGUGGGGAAUAUUGCACAAUGGGCGAAAGCCUGAUGCAGCGACGCCGCGUGAGCGAUGAAGUAUUUCGGUAUGUAAAGCUCUAUCAGCAGGGAAGAUAAUGACGGUACCUGACUAAGAAGCACCGGCUAAAUACGUGCCAGCAGCCGCGGUAAUACGUAUGGUGCAAGCGUUAUCCGGAUUUACUGGGUGUAAAGGGUGCGUAGGUGGUAUGGCAAGUCAGAAGUGAAAACUAUGGGCUCAACCCAUAGACUGCUUUUGAAACUGUCAAACUAGAGUGCAGGAGAGGAAAGAAGAAUUCCUAGUGUAGCGGUGAAAUGCGUAGAUAUUAGGAGGAAUACCAGUGGCGAAGGCGUCUUUCUAGACUGUUACUGACACUGAGGCACGAAAGCGUGGGGAGCAAACAGGAUUAGAUACCCUGGUA
RNAcentral lists this ribosomal RNA (434 nucleotides) under uncultured bacterium. Its description in RNAcentral is "partial 16S ribosomal RNA". It matches the Rfam family "Bacterial small subunit ribosomal RNA", at positions 341 to 792 of the family's 1533-position model. The record is from RNAcentral.